UCUAUUAAAGGAAAAUAGCCCCUCCACUGGCCUUAGGCGCCAAGACUCUUGGUGCAAAUCCAAGUAAUAGAA
This 72-nucleotide transfer RNA is filed under the name Gloydius intermedius (Central Asian pitviper). RNAcentral describes it as "tRNA-Leu". Lineage: Eukaryota; Metazoa; Chordata; Lepidosauria; Squamata; Viperidae. The record is from RNAcentral. RNAcentral also lists the same sequence under 6 other names.